Long non-coding RNA from Phymastichus coffea, 610 nucleotides. RefSeq lists it as uncharacterized. The record is from RefSeq and is a predicted model, not a curated record. Lineage: Eukaryota; Metazoa; Arthropoda; Insecta; Hymenoptera; Eulophidae. The transcript has 3 exons.
AAAUAAUAUUCAUCAAGCUGAACAGCCUGCACAGAUCAUAGCUAUAGUAUAUCUUUGGAUAAAAAAGUCAAGGGCGGUAAGAUUGUUGAUACAACAAGUGGCCUACGAAUUUGAAAAGACCGUAAAUGAGCGUGUAAGAAUUCGUUUCAAUCAACAAACCGCGCAGAGGCAAUGCGUAAAAAUCAAUAGUCUGUUCGAUUGGAACGAAAAAGAAAGAAGAAACUUUCCAUGGUUGGGCAAGAUGAAUCAGCGAAGAAGAUCAAGCAAAGAAGAUUAGCAGAGAUUAGCAGAAGAGAAGUGACAAAAAAGAGAAGUCUCAGCGAAGGAUGUGCCGGUUUCGAUAGUGAACUCAUCAUCGCCAUCAUCGUCUUCGUUUUCGUCGUCGUCGUCACCUUGUCAUCAGCGAUCUCUCCUCAAAUAAUGGUACUGGUGAUGUCACUAGCGGUACGCAUUUAAGACGAUGUGCCGCUUUAUUUGUCUAUUAUGAGAAAUGAAAUAAUUCCCAAGAAACCCCUAAUUGAGAGUAUUGAAACGGUUCAACGAAAAAUAAUAGUCAUACCAAGCCAUUUAAUAAUCAGGACGCUGACUUGACCCGCAAAUUUUGUUGGAG